UUUCAGCAAUGAGAAAGAGGUAUCCAAGGGGAAUCCCGUGAGAGCCGGGAACUGCCCCGCAACUGUGAAGGGAACGAAAGCCAAAAAGACAGUGAAUAGUAAAUGGUGAUAACUGAAAGAUAAAACUUUCUCCAAAUUAUUCACUGAGAACUGAUCACUGCUUUUAAAGCCACCUGACUUUGCAGUCGGGGAAGGCUGGCAAGUAGGAGGCCCUGAGUCAGGAGACCCUGGAUACCUCUAAACACUAAUACCCU
RNAcentral lists this unclassified non-coding RNA (254 nucleotides) under Candidatus Sulfobium mesophilum. Lineage: Bacteria; Pseudomonadati; Nitrospirota; Nitrospiria; Nitrospirales; Nitrospiraceae. The record is from RNAcentral.